CAGUCGCCACGGUAAUACGAAGGGUGCAAGCGUUACUCGGAACUACUGGGCGUAAAGCGUGCGUAGGUGGUGGUUUAAGUCCGUUGUGAAAGCCCUGGGCUCAACCUGGGAAUUGCGGUGGAUACUGGAUCACUAGAGUGUGGUAGAGGAUAGUGGAAUUUCCGGUGUAGCAGUGAAAUGCGUAGAGAUCGGAAGGAACAUCUGUGGCGAAGGCGACUAUCUGGGCCAACACUGACACUGAGGCACGAAAGCGUGGGGAGCAAACAGGAUUAGAUACCCCAGUAGUCCCUGUCUCUUAUAC
Molecule: ribosomal RNA, 301 nt
Filed under: uncultured bacterium
Lineage: Bacteria
Description: partial 16S ribosomal RNA
Rfam family: Bacterial small subunit ribosomal RNA
Source: RNAcentral